RNAcentral lists this long non-coding RNA (493 nucleotides) under Mytilus galloprovincialis (Mediterranean mussel). Lineage: Eukaryota; Metazoa; Mollusca; Bivalvia; Mytilida; Mytilidae. The record is from RNAcentral.
GUCCGACCGUCUGUUCAAAAGUUACAAGGGGAUGAUUCUUAAAAGUAUAGUAUUUUGUGUAUAUCUUUUUAAAGGUAACAGAUAUCAACCUACUAUAAACUGCAAAGAUGAUCAGUAAUUCAAGACCUUCAAUUUGAGGUCAAUGUCAGGUCAUGAUGAAAUUUCACCUUGACAUUCACAGUAUACUAUGACCUUGACCUUGUGAUAUUUGAAAGGUCAAGUGGUCCUGACUUGAAUGGGGCUUGUCCCAUGUCUCUACGACUUCCGGUUCUUAAGUUUGGUAUUGCAUCAUAUAUUUGAUGAUUAAUUGUGACCUUGGUGAACUUUGAAAUUGUCCCAAUUCUUUUUCUAUAUGUUGUCCUUCAACUGUAGAUCAUUUAUCAUUUAACAGAUUUGAGAUAUCUAUUGUCGUUGUAGAGAUAAUGCAGUUUGAAGUUUUGCGAGCGGAGGCAUGUAUUUCUGAAUCAACAAGAGCGUACCUCUUCAAAUGUUU